UGGGUUGUAGCUCAGUGGUAGAGCACUUGCUUAGCAUGUGUGAGGACUUGGGUUUGAUCCUCAGCACCACAU
Molecule: transfer RNA, 72 nt
Filed under: Ictidomys tridecemlineatus (thirteen-lined ground squirrel)
Lineage: Eukaryota; Metazoa; Chordata; Mammalia; Rodentia; Sciuridae
Description: Spermophilus tridecemlineatus (thirteen-lined ground squirrel) tRNA
Rfam family: tRNA
About the family: Transfer RNA (tRNA) molecules are approximately 80 nucleotides in length. Their secondary structure includes four short double-helical elements and three loops (D, anti-codon, and T loops).
Source: Rfam by way of RNAcentral